RNAcentral lists this ribosomal RNA (320 nucleotides) under uncultured eukaryote. RNAcentral's name for it is "partial 18S ribosomal RNA". It matches the Rfam family "Eukaryotic small subunit ribosomal RNA", at positions 1470 to 1796 of the family's 1831-position model. The record is from RNAcentral.
CCCUUAGAUGUUCUGGGCUGCACGCGCGCUACACUGACAUACUCAGCAAGUUUCCUUGCCUGAAAGGGUUGGGUAAUCUUGUUAGUGUAUGUCGUGAUGGGGAUAGAAUAUUGUAAUUAUUGCUCUUUAACGAGGAAUUCCUAGUAAGCGCAAGUCAUCAGCUUGCGUUGAUUACGUCCCUGCCCUUUGUACACACCGCCCGUCGCUCCUACCGAUUGGGUGAUCCGGUGAAUGAUUCGGACUCUGGCUAUGCUAGCUACUAGCUACGUCAGGGAAAGUUUUGUGAGCCUUAUCACUUGGAGGAAGGAGAAGUCGUAACA